GACGAACGCUGGCGGCGUGCUUAACACAUGCAAGUUGAACGGAAAGGCCCUGCUUUUGUGGGGUGCUCGAGUGGCGAACGGGUGAGUAACCCGUGAGUAACCUGCCCUUGACUUUGGGAUAACUUCAGGAAACUGGGGCUAAUACCGGAUCGGAGCUCCUGCUGCAUGGUGGGGGUUGGAAAGUUUCGGCGGUUGGGGAUGGACUCGCGGCUUAUCAGCUUGUUGGUGGGGUAGUGGCUUACCAAGGCUUUGACGGGUAGCCGGCCUGAGAGGUUGACCGGGCACAUGGGGACUGAGAUACGGCCCAGACGCCAACUGGAGACAGCAGGGGGGAGUAUGGCACAAUAGGCGGAAGCCUAGGGCGGCAACGCCGCGGUCGGGAUGACGGCCUGCGGGUAGUAAACCGCUUUCGCCUAAGACGAAGCGUGAGUGACGGUAAUGGAAAAAGAAGCACCGGCUAACUACGUG
RNAcentral lists this ribosomal RNA (468 nucleotides) under uncultured bacterium. RNAcentral describes it as "partial 16S ribosomal RNA". It matches the Rfam family "Bacterial small subunit ribosomal RNA", at positions 28 to 507 of the family's 1533-position model. The record is from RNAcentral.